This 253-nucleotide ribosomal RNA is filed under the name uncultured bacterium. RNAcentral's name for it is "partial 16S ribosomal RNA". It matches the Rfam family "Bacterial small subunit ribosomal RNA", at positions 524 to 776 of the family's 1533-position model. The record is from RNAcentral.
UACGGAGGGAGCUAGCGUUGUUCGGAAUUACUGGGCGUAAAGCGCACGUAGGCGGCUAUUCAAGUCAGGGGUGAAAUCCCGGAGCUCAACUCCGGAACUGCCUCUGAAACUAGAUAGCUAGAAUCUUGGAGAGGUCAGUGGAAUUCCGAGUGUAGAGGUGAAAUUCGUAGAUAUUCGGAAGAACACCAGUGGCGAAGGCGACUGACUGGACAAGUAUUGACGCUGAGGUGCGAAAGCGUGGGGAGCAAACAGG